UACGUAGGGUGCGAGCGUUGUCCGGAAUUACUGGGCGUAAAGAGCUCGUAGGUGGUUUGUCGCGUUGUCCGUGAAAACUCACAACUCAAUUGUGGGCGUGCGGGCGAUACGGGCAGACUGGAGUACUGCAGGGGAGACGGGAAUUCCUGGUGUAGCGGUGGAAUGCGCAGAUAUCAGGAGGAACACCGGUGGCGAAGGCGGGUCUCUGGGCAGUAACUGACGCUGAGGAGCGAAAGCGUGGGGAGCGAACAGG
Molecule: ribosomal RNA, 253 nt
Filed under: uncultured bacterium
Lineage: Bacteria
Description: partial 16S ribosomal RNA
Rfam family: Bacterial small subunit ribosomal RNA
Source: RNAcentral